This 65-nucleotide transfer RNA is filed under the name Sinna extrema. Its description in RNAcentral is "tRNA-Glu". Lineage: Eukaryota; Metazoa; Arthropoda; Insecta; Lepidoptera; Nolidae. The record is from RNAcentral.
AUUUAUAUAGUUUAUAUAAAACAUUACAUUUUCAUUGUAAAAAUAAAAUAUAUUUUUUAUAAAUA